CACCGGCAGCUCUAGUGGUAGCUGUUUUUAUUGGGCCUAAAGCGUUCGUAGCCGGUUUGAUAAGUUCUUUGGUGAAAUCCUGUAGCUUAACUAUGGGAAUUGCUGAGGAUGCUGUCAGGGCUUGAGGUCGGGAGAGGUUAGCGGUACUCCCAGGGUAGGGGUGAAAUCCUGUAAUCCUGGGAGGACCACCUGUGGCGAAGGCGGCUAACGUGGAAACGAACCUGACGGUGAGGGGUACGAAAAGCUAGGGGGCGCGAACCGGAUUAGAUACCCGGGUAGUCCUAGCCGUAAACGAUGCGGACUGGGUGUUGGGGUGGCUUCGUGCUGUUCCGGUGCCGAAGGGAAGCUGUUAAGUCCGCCGCCUGGGAAGUACGGUCGCAAGACUGAAACUUAAAGGAAUUAGGCGGGGGAGCACCACAACGCGUGGAGCCUGCGGUUU
RNAcentral lists this ribosomal RNA (439 nucleotides) under uncultured archaeon. RNAcentral describes it as "bacterial SSU rRNA". It matches the Rfam family "Archaeal small subunit ribosomal RNA", at positions 474 to 903 of the family's 1478-position model. The record is from RNAcentral.